UGUUGGAUGAAGGCCUCCUCAAGUUGUCUUUGUCGUUAAAGGUUGUUUGACCACACUUCAUUUGAUGAAGUAGGUGCCCAGAACCGUUUCAGAUAUUACUCGCUCCGGAUGUCAGCCAGGACCCGUUAAUCAACUCAGGUUAACGGGUAAAUUUCUACAGUGCGCUAACCACUGCAGCAACACUGCCCUCCCCUGUAGAAUGUACAGUGGUAUGAAUGCGCAGAAUCCACAGCGGUAAGACUCAAUCAUUCUAAGAUUUGUAACGCGCGGCCACGUUCAGCAAGAAGGCGAGACGAGAGCACGUAGGCCGCCGAGGAAAAGUAACGUAAAUUAAACUCAACAGAAGAGAAAAUUAUACGGUCUUAAUCCGGUCUUAAAAAGCACCGAUAGUCACGGCUGAGCGGGCUUCAGUCGGCAGACACCGCUCCAGGUCACGGGGGCUGCAGAUGAAGGGCUCCGUUCUGACGGCCGAAGCCGAAUGGAUCUCGCGUACAGCAGCCGGUCCAGAACGGCUACGCGUAGGUUCCGUACACAUGAGGCGGAAGGCAUCGCUCUGCUAAGGUUCAUGGAAAGGCAAUCUGAAGUGGGAAUUGCAGCACCGCUCCUAAGAACGAGGCGCUCGAGAAGAACGGACUGAAAAGAGACGCUCUUUGCUGGAGGAGGAGGAAGAGGAGGAGGAGAGGUGUAGGGAGGAAGACGAUGAGGAGAGAAGGAGGAUGAACCAUGUGGUUGGUCAGCAUCUUGUUGUAUCUCCUGGUGACCCUACAAGGUCAUGGGGCCACGUUUAGGCCUCAAGAAGACAGCUUCGUGACUGUGCCUGCACUGGACUCCUCCGGCUGCCCGAUUACACGCACACACACACACGCACACAGCGACUCUGGAAUGAAUGCAACGCCACCACCGCCAACGCCGCCGCCGCCGCCACAACCACCACCACCGGCGGCAAAGAAACUCGGAGUGAGGAGCGUUCCGUACUCUGGCGGGAGCAGGUGGGAUUCCGCAAGCAGUGAACCCUAACAACUUGCCACCUCCUGUCAAGUGCUAUGUUCCACAUUUCAAAGCAAAGACUGCAAAAAGGGCCAGGCGCACUCGUCGCCGUCGCUCACUCUUAACACCGCCAACCGAACGAGGCGGUGUGAGAUCCCAGCGUCGAGCCCGGCUGCCGUUGUCACAGUGGGCGAUGGCGCAGGGGAGACAGCCAAAGGCACGCGCCUAAGCUCCCCCGUCCCGUCCCGGCGGUGCGGGCAAGACGGAGCGCGUGCCGCAUACCUGCGUGGCUUCCAGCGAGCCUCGACGUGGCUCUCCGCUCGCGUCCCGCGACUCCCAGCCCGUAUUUGGUACCAACAGAGGAGUGGCGUAUGGGAAGAUGCACCAUCUAGCGUCGAUUCAAAUGCAUUACCUAAGUGUGCCGAUGCGCAGAACUUUAAAAAAUACAUGAAUAAAGGAAAAUAUGUUCAUGUUGUUUUGUGAACAACACAGAAUUCAAAGUGAUUCACCGAACUCAUCGUUGAAACCGAAACAAUUCUUGUGAUGUGAUCUUUUCCGACCAAAAAGCGGUGCACACGUUUUGCUGCCGUGACAGUUCAGAUUAAAAAUGUCUUCACGUCACAACACCAAAAUCAAUGAGUUGAAAAAUACGUCCUUCUCGGACACAAGGCCGACUAUUCGCGCAGGCCGCUGUAAAUGUUAGACACGGGCGUACGUCACCGUCGCAUGACACUAUGCCAAUCGUACAAUUGGAAAUAACGAUUGCGAGAUGAAAAUUAAUAAAUGUAUACAAAAAAGGAGCGGUAGUACAGGCAACAACCGGUAAUACAAAGCAGCAGGGAGGGAACAUCUCAAACAAGCCACAGCAGCGGGCUCGCUAUUCAUUACAACAAUCACUUUGCCAUUUGUCACGUAAGCUGUUAAUGUGGUUGGAGGUGAACGGAGGAAUGUGGAGAUUAAAGGUAAAUUCCCCGUGUAA
Molecule: non-coding RNA, 1966 nt
Organism: Petromyzon marinus (sea lamprey)
Lineage: Eukaryota; Metazoa; Chordata; Hyperoartia; Petromyzontiformes; Petromyzontidae
Source: RefSeq, a predicted model, not a curated record